Molecule: ribosomal RNA, 665 nt
Filed under: Helvella crispa
Lineage: Eukaryota; Fungi; Ascomycota; Pezizomycetes; Pezizales; Helvellaceae
Description: eukaryotic LSU rRNA
Rfam family: Eukaryotic large subunit ribosomal RNA
Source: RNAcentral
AAUCUGGGGCCCCCGGCCUCCGAGUUGUAAUUUGGAGAGGCUCCUUCGGGGGGGAGCGCUGGCCCAUGUUCCUUGGAACAGGACGUCGCAGAGGGUGAGAAUCCCGUGCCAGGCCGGCCGCCUCCUCCCACGUGAAGGGCCUUCGACGAGUCGAGUUGUUUGGGAAUGCAGCUCCAAGCGGGUGGUAAAUUUCAUCUAAAGCUAAAUACCGGCGGGAGACCGAUAGCGCACAAGUAGAGUGAUCGAAAGAUGAAAAGCACUUUGAAAAUAGAGUCAAAAAGUACGUGAAAUUGUUGAAAGGGAAGCGCUUGAGACCAGACUCAGACCCGGGCAAACACCGCGCCCCCAGGGGCCGUGCAAUUGCCCGGUGCUGGGCCAGCAUCAGUUGGCGUGGCGGGACAAGGGCGCGGGAAAUGUGGCUCCCCUCGGGGAGUGUUAUCAGGCCCGCGCCGGAUGCCGCCGACGCCGACUGAGGACCGCGCCUCGGCUAGGAUGCUGGCUUAAUGGCCUUCAGCGACCCGUCUUGAAACACGGACCAAGGAGUCUAACAUCUAUGCGAGUGUUUGGGCGCCAAACCCUUGCGCGGAAUGAAAGUGAGCGGAGGUGGGAACCCCUCACGGGGCGCACCAUCGACCGAUCCUGAUGUCUUCGGAUGGAUUUGAGUA